RNAcentral lists this small RNA (272 nucleotides) under Carlito syrichta (Philippine tarsier). Its description in RNAcentral is "Metazoan signal recognition particle RNA (ENSTSYG00000028584.1)". The record is from RNAcentral. Lineage: Eukaryota; Metazoa; Chordata; Mammalia; Primates; Tarsiidae.
GCCAGGCGUGGUAGCGUACGCCUGUAGUUCCAGCUACUCAGAAGGCUGAGGUGGAAGGAUUGCUGGAGUCCAGCAGGUCGACGCUGGCGUGGCUGUGAGCGUGCCACUGUACUCCAGCCUGGGUGAAGGAGUGAGACUCCAACUCAAAGAAAAUACAAAAUAAAAAACAAAUUAAAUUUAAAAAAAUUAGUUGGGCAUGGUGGUCAAGGCUGUGGUGGCCGUGAGCAUGCCACUGCACUCCAGCUUGGGCAAUAGAGUGAGACUCCAACUCA